RNAcentral lists this ribosomal RNA (254 nucleotides) under uncultured bacterium. Its description in RNAcentral is "partial 16S ribosomal RNA". It matches the Rfam family "Bacterial small subunit ribosomal RNA", at positions 524 to 777 of the family's 1533-position model. The record is from RNAcentral.
UACAGAGGGGGCAAGCGUUAUUCGGAAUUAUUGGGCGUAAAGGGCGCGUAGGCGGCUUGGCAAGUGGAUGGUGAAAUCCCUCAGCUUAACUGGGGAACUGCGUCUGAUACUGGAUGGCUUGGAUUCGGGAGAGGAAUGCGGAAUUCCAGGUGUAGCGGUGAAAUGCGUAGAUAUCUGGAGGAACACCGGUGGCGAAGGCGGCAUUCUGGACCGAUAUUGACGCUGAGGAGCGAAAGCCAGGGGAGCAAAGCGGG